AAAUUGAAGAGUUUGAUCAUGGCUCAGAUUGAACGCUGGCGGCAGGCCUAACACAUGCAAGUCGAACGGUAACAGGAAGAGCUUGCUGCUUUGCUGACGAGUGGCGGACGGGUGAGUAAUGUCUGGGAAACUGCCUGAUGGAGGGGGAUAACUACUGGAAACGGUAGCUAAUACCGCAUAACGUCGCAAGACCAAAGAGGGGGACCUUCGGGCCUCUUGCCAUCGGAUGUGCCCAGAUGGGAUUAGCUUGUUGGUGGGGUAACGGCUCACCAAGGCGACGAUCCCUAGCUGGUCUGAGAGGAUGACCAGCCACACUGGAACUGAGACACGGUCCAGACUCCUACGGGAGGCAGCAGUGGGGAAUAUUGCACAAUGGGCGCAAGCCUGAUGCAGCCAUGCCGCGUGUAUGAAGAAGGCCUUCGGGUUGUAAAGUACUUUCAGCGGGGAGGAAGGGAGUAAAGUUAAUACCUUUGCUCAUUGACGUUACCCGCAGAAGAAGCACCGGCUAACUCCGUGCCAGCAGCCGCGGUAAUACGGAGGGUGCAAGCGUUAAUCGGAAUUACUGGGCGUAAAGCGCACGCAGGCGGUUUGUUAAGUCAGAUGUGAAAUCCCCGGGCUCAACCUGGGAACUGCAUCUGAUACUGGCAAGCUUGAGUCUCGUAGAGGGGGGUAGAAUUCCAGGUGUAGCGGUGAAAUGCGUAGAGAUCUGGAGGAAUACCGGUGGCGAAGGCGGCCCCCUGGACGAAGACUGACGCUCAGGUGCGAAAGCGUGGGGAGCAAACAGGAUUAGAUACCCUGGUAGUCCACGCCGUAAACGAUGUCGACUUGGAGGUUGUGCCCUUGAGGCGUGGCUUCCGGAGCUAACGCGUUAAGUCGACCGCCUGGGGAGUACGGCCGCAAGGUUAAAACUCAAAUGAAUUGACGGGGGCCCGCACAAGCGGUGGAGCAUGUGGUUUAAUUCGAUGCAACGCGAAGAACCUUACCUGGUCUUGACAUCCACGGAAGUUUUCAGAGAUGAGAAUGUGCCUUCGGGAACCGUGAGACAGGUGCUGCAUGGCUGUCGUCAGCUCGUGUUGUGAAAUGUUGGGUUAAGUCCCGCAACGAGCGCAACCCUUAUCCUUUGUUGCCAGCGGUCCGGCCGGGAACUCAAAGGAGACUGCCAGUGAUAAACUGGAGGAAGGUGGGGAUGACGUCAAGUCAUCAUGGCCCUUACGACCAGGGCUACACACGUGCUACAAUGGCGCAUACAAAGAGAAGCGACCUCGCGAGAGCAAGCGGACCUCAUAAAGUGCGUCGUAGUCCGGAUUGGAGUCUGCAACUCGACUCCAUGAAGUCGGAAUCGCUAGUAAUCGUGGAUCAGAAUGCCACGGUGAAUACGUUCCCGGGCCUUGUACACACCGCCCGUCACACCAUGGGAGUGGGUUGCAAAAGAAGUAGGUAGCUUAACCUUCGGGAGGGCGCUUACCACUUUGUGAUUCAUGACUGGGGUGAAGUCGUAACAAGGUAACCGUAGGGGAACCUGCGGUUGGAUCACCUCCUUA
RNAcentral lists this ribosomal RNA (1541 nucleotides) under Escherichia coli. RNAcentral describes it as "bacterial SSU rRNA". It matches the Rfam family "Bacterial small subunit ribosomal RNA". The record is from RNAcentral. Lineage: Bacteria; Pseudomonadati; Pseudomonadota; Gammaproteobacteria; Enterobacterales; Enterobacteriaceae.